AGCGAACGCUGGCGGCAUGCCUAACACAUGCAAGUCUGACGGGCAGGCUUUCGGGUCUGUCAGUGGCGGACGGGUGAGGAACGCGUAGGGACGUGUCCUGAGGUGGGGGAUAACCGCGGGAAACUGCGGCUAAGACCGCAUGGGGCCUGAGGGCCAAAGCCGAGAGGCGCCUUAGGGGCGGCCUGCGCCCGAUUAGCUUGUUGGUGGGGUAGUGGCCCACCAAGGCUGCGAUCGGUAGCUGGUCUGAGAGGAUGAUCAGCCACACUGGGACUGAGACACGGCCCAGACUCCUACGGGAGGCAGCAGUGGGGAGUAUUGGACAAUGGGCGAAAGCCUGAUCCAGCAAUGCCGCGUGGGUGAAGAAGGUCUUCGGAUUGUAAAGCCCUUUCGGCGGGGACGAUGAUGACGGUACCCGCAGAAGAAGCCCCGGCUAACUUCGUGCCAGCCGCCGCAGUAACAC
This 460-nucleotide ribosomal RNA is filed under the name uncultured bacterium. Its description in RNAcentral is "bacterial SSU rRNA". It matches the Rfam family "Bacterial small subunit ribosomal RNA", at positions 28 to 526 of the family's 1533-position model. The record is from RNAcentral.